UACGUAGGGACCAAGCGUUGUUCGGAUUUACUGGGCGUAAAGGGCGCGUAGGCGGCGUGGUAAGUCACUUGUGAAAUCUCUGAGCUUAACUCAGAACGGCCAAGUGAUACUGCUGUGCUAGAGUGCAGAAGGGGCAAUCGGAAUUCUUGGUGUAGCGGUGAAAUGCGUAGAUAUCAAGAGGAACACCAGUGGCGAAGGCGCCGCUCUGGGCCGUGACUGACGCUGAGGAGCGAAAGCGUGGGUAGCAAACAGG
This 253-nucleotide ribosomal RNA is filed under the name uncultured bacterium. Its description in RNAcentral is "partial 16S ribosomal RNA". It matches the Rfam family "Bacterial small subunit ribosomal RNA", at positions 524 to 776 of the family's 1533-position model. The record is from RNAcentral.